CCUACGGGUGGCAGCAGUGAGGAAUAUUGGUCAAUGGCCGAGAGGCUGAACCAGCCAAGCCGCGUGAGGGAGGAAGGUACAGAGUAUCGUAAACCUCUUUUGUCAGGGAACAAAGACUGGGACGCGUCCCCGGAUGAGUGUACCUGAAGAAAAAGCAUCGGCUAACUCCGUGCCAGCAGCCGCGGUAAUACGGAGGAUGCGAGCGUUAUCCGGAUUUAUUGGGGUGAAAGGGUGCGCAGGCGGUCUGUUAAGUCAGCGGUCAAAGCCCGGGGCUCAACCCCGGACCGCCGUUGAAACUGGCAGUCUCGAGUUGGAGAGACGUAUGCGGAAUGCGCGGUGUAGCGGUGAAAUGCAUAGAUAUCGCGCAGAACUCCGAUUGCGAAGGCAGCAUGCCGGCUCCACACUGACGCUGAGGCACGAAAGCGUGGGUAUCGAACAGGAUUAGAUACCCCGGUAGUU
This 459-nucleotide ribosomal RNA is filed under the name uncultured bacterium. Its description in RNAcentral is "partial 16S ribosomal RNA". It matches the Rfam family "Bacterial small subunit ribosomal RNA", at positions 338 to 795 of the family's 1533-position model. The record is from RNAcentral.